RNAcentral lists this long non-coding RNA (441 nucleotides) under Cyanistes caeruleus (blue tit). RNAcentral's name for it is "lncRNA (ENSCCEG00000019325.1)". The record is from RNAcentral. Lineage: Eukaryota; Metazoa; Chordata; Aves; Passeriformes; Paridae.
CUCUAUGCGAGGAAACCCCAAUGCAUCAGCUUGCUGAACAACCUGCUGGCCAAGCUAUACCUGGGUGUUUUGCCUAGAGGUUUUGAUGCAAGGUGAAUGUUUUGGCAAACAAGGACUGAGUUUGUCCACAGUUUGGAAAGCUUCCAGAAAAUAAUGGCUACAGGAACUAUCAAGUGCUACUGCAAUGCAAGAAAUGAUUGAUCUGGCUAAAAUCAUAUUACUGGCUUCCUCCUGGUCAAUGUUCUGACUCCUUGUGUUGUGGCAUUCUACCCUGAGGAUGUGGAGGCCUACGGAUUUACUUGUUCUAGCUGCCAAAAAUCAUAGAAUAUCUUGAGUUUGGAAGGACCCAUAAGGAUCAUCAAGUUGUAAAGGUAUGUGUCCAGAUGGCAAAAGCAAAGCUUUGAUAUUGAAAGAAUAAAUCAGAAAUUAAUAUGAAUAUCA